AUUGAACGCUGGCGGCAGGCCUAACACAUGCAAGUCGAACGAUUGGCGGACGGGUGAGUAAUUUCUGGGAAACUGCCCGAUGGAGGGGGAUAACUACUGGAAACGGUAGCUAAUACCGCAUACCAUCGGAUGUGCCCAGAUGGGAUUGGCUAGUAGGUGGGGUAACGGCUCACCUAGGCGACGAUCCCUAGCUGGUCUGAGAGGAUGACCGGCCACACUGGAACUGGGACACGAUCCAGACUCCUACGGGAGGCAGCAGUGGGGAAUAUUGCGCAAUGGGGGCAAGCAUGAUGCAGCCAUGCCGCGUGUGUGAAGAAGGCCUUCGGGUUGUAAAGUACUUUCAGCGAGGAGGCGGUACUCGCAGAAGAAGCACCGGCUAACUCCGUGCCAGCAGCCGCGGUAAUAC
This 406-nucleotide ribosomal RNA is filed under the name uncultured bacterium. RNAcentral describes it as "partial 16S ribosomal RNA". It matches the Rfam family "Bacterial small subunit ribosomal RNA", at positions 30 to 526 of the family's 1533-position model. The record is from RNAcentral.